Molecule: non-coding RNA, 2136 nt
Organism: Nothobranchius furzeri (turquoise killifish)
Lineage: Eukaryota; Metazoa; Chordata; Actinopteri; Cyprinodontiformes; Nothobranchiidae
Source: the annotation of a RefSeq genome assembly
UGGACUUUCUACCACUCUGGAGUUGUUCCCAUUGGUGAUCUCCGCUUCGCUGGAGCGGUUCACAGCCGAGUGUGAAGCAGCUGGGAUCAGAAUCAGCUCCCUUAAAUCCGAGACCAUGGUCUUGGGUCGGAAAAGGGUAGAAUGCCUUCUCCAGGUCAGGAAUGAGGUCCUGCCUCAAGUGGAGGACUAUUUUCAAAGUUUUACAAAUAUUCAAAUCAAAUAUCAUCAACGGGUAAACAUCCUUAUUUCCAACAAGAUAACCAGAAUCUGUACCGACUCCGAAGAACCAGCAUCUCUGCUCCACCCAUGGUGAUGUGAUGUUGUACAUUAGAGCUUGUUCUCUCAGCAGUUUGAGUUCAUAGAUCUGUUCUCCUAUAGGGUCAGUCAAUACUAAAGUUAAUGGGUUUUAGCAGAAACCAAUGUGGUGAGUUUUAUUUGUUUAGAAGAUCUCCAACAAAGCUAGCAAAGGACAUCCACAUCUUCAGUUUUCACUGUUUAAAUGAGAUUCUCCACUGGACUGGCUGGAGAACAUGUUGAUCUCCUCAGCUGUAGCUGACUUCUAUGAUGCCUGCAGCUCCAGGAAACACCUCAGAUGUGACUAAAAACCCAAUCUGAGCCAGCGACCAGCUGCUGGAAGGCUUCUUUCCAUCCUGUUGAAGUCAAGUUGUGUCCUCCACUAGAGGGCGACAUCCUCCAGUAGGCGGUGCAUUACUUGUGCACUGUGUUCAAGCAUUGUGUCAAUAACAAGUGGUGGUGUUGAACAGCAGCUAGUUUCUCCUGUUGACUGAAACCUUGUUGUACAGAUGGAACAUUGGCUGUGGAUUCUUCUUGCUGCUCUUUUCUCUGAGUGUAAAGGAGAUAAAGUGGUCCAGGAUGAAGGAGGUGUUGCUGCUGAAGGAACCUCCACUACACUUCCAUGUACUUUUGAUAAAAGUGAUUAUUUCAACGUUCAUUUGUUUUGGUACAAACAAGAAGAAAAUCAGAUUCCAAAGUACGCUUUGUACCGAGACACAAUUGGGACAAGUAACAAUGCUCCAGAGUUCAGCAAAGGCAGAUUUGAAGCUGCAAUUACAGGAAAUUCAGUUCCUCUGAAGAUCCAGAGGCUUCAUGUGACCGACUCUGCUGUGUACUACUGUGCUGUGAGGCCCACAGUGACAGGAAACAGUAAAAGUGUGUAGAAAAACCUGCAGAGCAAAGACAACACAAUACUCCCCAACAUCCACUAGGGGUUAAAGUAGAUGCUGAUUUGUCAAUGUCCAUGCAUGUUAAUGAAAGAUCUUGUUAUGCCCAGCUUCGUCACCUAACACGAUUAAAGCCCAUCCUUAAGAGUUUGGACAAGGAAUAUGUUAUUAAUGUGUUCAUCACCUCAGACUGGACUAUACUAACUCAAAUCUCAUUGGUGUAAAUCUGCCCUCAGCUGUUUGCAGAAAGUCCAGACUGCUGCCUCACCCAUGGUUUCCCACAAGGCUCUGUACUGGGGCCCCUGCUCUUCCUCUAUCUGCUUCCUCUUCAGCACAUCCUGAGCUCCUACAAAUCCUACCAUCUUUAUGCAGAUGACAUCCAACUUUACAUCUCCUUUAAGCCCCAUGAGAUGUCUAAGAUGCAGCUGUUCCACACCUGCUUGGACUCUAUUAAAACCUGGAUGGUGGGAACUUUCUACAGCGAAAUGAUGCUCAGAUAUGUGUUACUCACCCUCAGUGCAUAAGAAUUGGCAGCACUGCACACUCAAGUGUAUUAUGGAAACCCAAUGGGAAUUAGUUUCCUUACAGGUAUCCAAAAGUCACGUUUCACCCGAGACCUGGGCCUUCAUUCCUCAAACGUUGGUAGAAACCAUCUUAAAUUCAGGAAAGAAUGAAAUUCAGGAUGUUUGUCUGAGCGGCCAAAAUCCUGACUUAUGAAACAUGGAGUAGCCGCUCGUACGCAAGUCCCUCCACAGUCAACUGAUGAUAAAUCAGAUGGUCCUGUCAUUAGAGAGACAUUCACUCUGACUUAAUGAAGUACUGUAUGUUUGUAUAGGAUUUAAAAUGUAUUUAAUAAACAGCUGCUAGGUAUGCUGCUAUUAAUGUAACCGUGCAUCAUUUGUUUUUCUAAAUAUUGUUUGAGUUUUCCACAUGCCAACUCCACACGGGCAUGAGG